CCACAUUGGGACUGAGACACGGCCCAAACUCCUACGGGAGGCAGCAGUAGGGAAUUUUCGGCAAUGGAGGAAACUCUGACCGAGCAACGCCGCGUGAACGAUGAAGUAUUUCGGUACGUAAAGUUCUUUUAUUAGGGAAGAAUAAAUGAUGGAAAAAUCAUUCUGACGGUACCUAAUGAAUAAGCCCCGGCUAACUAUGUGCCAGCAGCCGCGGUAAUACAUAGGGGGCAAGCGUUAUCCGGAAUUAUUGGGCGUAAAGGGUGCGUAGGCGGUUAAAUAAGUUUAUGGUCUAAGUGCAAUGCUUAACAUUGUGAUGCUAUAAAAACUGUUUAACUAGAGUAAGAUAGAGGCAAGUGGAAUUCCAUGUGUAGUGGUAAAAUGCGUAAAUAUAUGGAGGAACACCAGUAGCGAAGGCGGCUUGCUGGGUCUUUACUGACGCUGAGGCACGAAAGCGUGGGGAGCAAACAGGAUUAGAUACCCUGGUAGUCCACGCCGUAAACGAUGAGUACUAAAUGUUGGGUAAAACCAGUGUUGAAGUUAACACAUUAAGUACUCCGCCUGAGUAGUACGUACGCAAGUAUGAAACUUAAAGGAAUUGACGGGACUCCGCACAAGCGGUGGAUCAUGUUGUUUAAUUCGAAGGUACCCGAAAAACCUCACCAGGUCUUGACAUGCUUCUGCAAAGCUGUAGAAACACAGUGGAGGUUAUCAGUUGCACAGGUGGUGCAUGGUUGUCGUCAGCUCGUGUCGUGAGAUGUUGGGUUAAGUCCCGCAACGAGCGCAACCCUUAUUGUUAGUUGCCAGCACGUAAUGGUGGGGACUUUAGCAAGACUGCCAGUGAUAAAUUGGAGGAAGGUGGGGACGACGUCAAAUCAUCAUGCCCCUUAUGACCUGGGCUACAAACGUGAUACAAUGGCUGUUACAAAGGG
RNAcentral lists this ribosomal RNA (929 nucleotides) under Cassava witches'-broom aster yellows phytoplasma. Its description in RNAcentral is "bacterial SSU rRNA". It matches the Rfam family "Bacterial small subunit ribosomal RNA", at positions 308 to 1246 of the family's 1533-position model. Lineage: Bacteria; Bacillati; Mycoplasmatota; Mollicutes; Acholeplasmatales; Acholeplasmataceae. The record is from RNAcentral.